Molecule: long non-coding RNA, 7716 nt
Filed under: Capsicum annuum
Lineage: Eukaryota; Viridiplantae; Streptophyta; Magnoliopsida; Solanales; Solanaceae
Description: long non-coding RNA (CANN_LNC000019)
Source: RNAcentral
CAAUACACAGCAAAUUUUGCAGCUUCCAUAAAAGCAAACAACGUAAGCUCUGAUCCUCCAUCGUCCGAUACAUAAACUGAAAGUUUUUCGAUAGGAUAAUAAUCAUACGCCAUAACUGAUAACGCUGUGUUAACGACGUUUAACGGGGGUUCCUUAUAAGGAUCCGCUGUGCAAAUAAAUAUAUCGAGUGCUGGUAAAUGAUUGUUACUAUACUUUUUUAUUUUUUCGGGUAAUUGUUUACGUGUGAUAGGACGCAUACGAAACGAUUGAGUGGUUGACCACAUGAAGGCUAAGAUUAAAUCGGAAAUUAUAAUAGAAAUAUAUAUGAAGAAAGUGAUAAAGGAAUAAUUAGUACUGGAAUAUAGAAGUUUGUGUAUGUGGUAGUAGAAAAGAGCUAGGAUGGCAAAAAGGUAAAUAAGUGCAAAUGCACGGUUGAGGAUGAGCUGUAGUGGCUUCACUUCGACGGAGUGAAGCGUAGCGCCGCCGUCAGCGGUGGUUCCGGUGGCGGCUGUGGUUUCCAUUUCUGUGUGAUAUAUGGAGCUAGUGAUAUACUGUGAUGAGAAGCAUUGCUAUUUAUAGCAAAUAUUCCAAGCUUUUUGAAAUUAAUUUAGAAAAAAAAUAAUUAACGCUAAGGGUAAAGUAUAAAAAAAUUUAUUUUUUUUCGAUAUGUCAAAAAUGACAAGUAAAAUUAGAAAUUCAAUUAGGAAACUAAUGACACGUAAAAAUAAACGGAGGGAGUAGUUGGUGUGUCGAGAAAAAGCUUCGAGUUGGAUUGAGUCGGUUAUUUUUAAACUAGGCUUUCAUUUUAGUUUAAAUAAAACUUUUUAGGGGGUCGUUGGUAGGAGGGAUAAGGGAUAACUAAUCUCGAGAUUAAUUUUAGGAAGAACUUAUCUCAUGUUUGAUUGGGAUAAAAUGUAUGGGACUUAAAUUAAUUAUUUCAAAAUUGUAGUGUUAUUAUUUGCAAAAGAUUAUUGGUCAAUUAUUUAGCAAAUCCAGGUUGAUUUGUUUAAAAAUAAUUGGUGAUGAGACUCUGUAUUGCUGUAUAUUAUCUCGAUAAGAACAUUAUUAUGUUUUGUCACAAUACAUUAAGCAAAAUGGAAUAAUUCAAGCUGUCGAGUGUUGACUGUCUCUUUUUAUAUUAUUUUGGAAGUACACAUCAUUUGCUGAUAGUCCAAUUCAUUUUGGAUGUCUUUGGUACGGCCAAAAAUAUUUUUUAUGAAAAAUGCUUUUAAAUAUUUAUCAAAGAGUUAGAGAACUAUGAUUGAAUCAUAUGCUAAAAAGAUGACGAGAAGAGUGGAAUGAGAGAUAAAAUUAUUAGUGAUGUUAUCUGAUGAAAUUUCAUGAUCAAACAAAUAUUUAAUGAUACAAGCGUUGAUUCAAAUACACUUAAAUAUAAGGAAUGACAACAUUAAUACUCUACAAGAACAAUAUCAAAAAGUCCCAAAGUACAAAAAUAAAUAAAUAAAUAAAUAAAUAAAUACUUUCCUAUUAAACAUUUCUUAGAAGAAAACCAAAUGACAUACAGAGAAUACUAGCAAGAAAUGUGGAGAAAAUUGUGACCUUUGUUGGCAUUCUUCCUUUAUCACUUCUCAAAAUCAUACCUUCAUAAAUUGGCAAACAAUUUAUCACAACAAAGCAAGCAAUAAACAUUUGGAUAAAUAGACCAUCCAAAUCUUGAUCACCCUUGAAAAUUUGUGCUAUUGAUGUGAGGAAUGCUACUAAAUUGAUAAUUGAAGUAGUUGCUAGUGCAACGAACAUUGGCGAAACAACUCCAAACUCGAAAAUUCCUUGAUGGUACCUUUUACCUUGGUCAUCAUCGACUACUUUGCUUGUAACGUUGAACCCUAGCGUUGAUAUGCCGAAGCGAUUAGUUAAAUACUCAAUUGUUCCAAAUAGCAAAGAUGUUAAUCCCCUUAUCAUCCACAUUCUUUGAUCACUCCACCACCUUUUCCAUGUCCCUUCACAAGACAUAAAAACCAAACAAUGUUGUCCGUAUGCUCCUAGGAACAAAAAUACGUACAAGAAAAACCAAGGAUCUGAAACCUGAAAUCAAUAUAAAAACAAAAGUGACUUUUAAGAUAUCAUAUGUUAAUGUCUAUAAGUGACAAAUUUACCACAAGUAUGAACCAAAAAUGUUAUUAUCUCAUUAUAAUAUUUAGACUAAUGAAAAAGAAAAACUACAUAUACCUUUGGAAAGAUGGAAACCCCAUUGAGUAGAGUAAGUUGAGGGAUGAAGGCAUAUAGAGUAAUUGGUAUACACCAAGUGGGCCAAAAUGCAUAUCUAGCAUAACAAUGGGCCAUAAGAAAGCCCAUGGACCUAACCCCAAAAGUCAAUGGGCUAUAUUUUGAGAAAACAACUUCAUGAAGGCCCACACACCAUCUCUUGUGUUGGCUUAGCACAUCAUAGAGAGAAAUAGGUAUAUCUCCUAAAAAUGCAGGCCUUUUAGGAUGGCAAAAUACAGAUUUCCAUCCUUCACAUUGAAGUCUAUAACCUGUAUAUAAAUCUUCCACUAAUGAUCCAUACCUGAAGCCCAUCUGCAAAAUUGUGAAAUCGUUAGUCCGCCAAAUUUAUUGUUGUGUCGCUGGUAUACGUAGAUUAUACAUGGUUAUAUACAUAUUGUUUUGUCCUUCAUUGAAAGUGACAAAAUCGCCUUUUCCCUAUUUUUUAUUCUAAUAUUUAAAAGUUGAAAAUAAAUUACAUAUAUUUAUGAUAAACCUUUUCUUUUUAGAUUUCAUCAGAAUUAAUGACAACUAAUACUUUUUUCAUUAGUUUCAGAAUUCUAAAUCAACUAAAAUUGAUUUUAGAAAGAUUUAAGGUGUAUAAAUCUACUUCUUUAUCUAGGUAUAUUAAAUCCAUUAAAUUUCUGGUAGUAAAAUAUAAAAUAUUUGUUUUGAACUUUUUACACUUUGUUAACAACCUUCUUAAAAGAUAAAAUCGAACUAGUUCAUAAAAAAGUUACCAAGGACUUAUUAAGAUGGAGGUAAAGCUCACCUUGGAACCCCAAUUACUUUCAUCCUCAUAGUUGCAACUUGCUACAUAAUGGGCUUGCUGUAAGAUUUCCUCGGCCCGAAUGGGCUUAUUCGCAACAUGAUCCGGGUAAAGUUCUUGAAUUUCGGGCUUCUCGAACGAAGAUGGACAGCCGAAAAGAGCCCGACGACGAAAGAAGCAUCCAGUUCCAACAUAAUUGGGCCCACGAAGCCCAUCCAUGCCCAUUGAAUUAGUAUGAAACAAGUCUUUUAUCUCACUAGCAUAAAUAUCUGCCUCAUUGAGCCCACGAAAACAUUGAGGAAAUUGAACGAAGGCUAAUUCGGGCCAUAAUGUUUGGUCCAAGAAGUAACAUAAAGCCCGCUGAGGUGUCGAUGGAUCGUUGGAGUACAUGUCACAAUCCAAUGUCAAUAUUAUUGGUGCAUUUGUCAUAAUUCCCGAUACUCGAAGCUAGAAAUUGAUCAUAAUAAGUACAUUAAUAACAAUAAUCCCACAAAAUGGGUCUGCCUGUAGAAAAAAAGAUAUUUUCACUUACCAAAGCAUUGAGGGCACCUGCUUUAAAAUGAUGAGGGGAACUUUUGUUUUUUUCUCUUGAAACAUAUAUAAGAUUUGACAUCCCAUGACCUGUCAUGUCUUUGUCUUUCCCACUUUCUAGCAAAACCUACAUCAAGCAAUUUGUUAAAGUGCGACAUUACUAGGAAAAUAUCAAAUCAGAAAAUACUAGAAAUAUUUAUAUAUAUGAAAAUAAACCUAAUAAAGAUUUAGUAAUACGCUUUAAAGUCAUGCAACAUUAGGUUCAAAAUGACAAUAUUUACAAGUUAGUUGAACCAAAUGAUAAGUUGUUAUGAUAAACCUGAAUAAUAGAAGGAUGAUUAGGACGAGUGAAUCCAGCAGUCCAAAAUUUUGUAAAUGCUUGAAGCUCUUCGUCGUUGUUGAUAUAAUCUUCAUCAACUUUUCCCCUCUCCAUCACAUUUUCUAUCCUUGUCUUCAUGCUUUCGUACGUCAACUGCACAUAUAAUAUAAUUAAAUAGGAUUCACACUUUGGUUAAGGUGUGGGGUGGGAAAAGUGCAAAUUAAAUUUGCCGAAAUUAGAAUUAUUUAUAUGAUCACUACAUAGGCAAGAAAAAGAAAGACAUUUAGUCUAUAUCUGUUUUUUUCCGAAAAUUAUAUCAUGUAAAUAUGAAGAAAGAGAUUAAUUAUGUUUUUUUUAAAUAUAUAGAUUACUGAAUCUCCUUUCAACACAACUUACGUAGGACCCAAGUAAUUUAAUUAAUUACCCGUCUUAGAAUUAAAAUCGAGAUAUUAAUAUGAAAAAUAUAUAAAUUGUAAAAAAAAAAAUCAUCUACAUAAUCAAAGUAUAUUUUAGAAUAUUAGUUAAAUUCACAUAAUUUGAAUCAAGGAGCGAAAAAUGAAAAAUAAUUUGGGAGAAAGGGCUAUCAAGCUAUCAGCAAUUAUAUUUAAAAAGUAGAAAAUAGUUCUAUAAAGAUGCAUGUAUUUUCUUAUGUACAUGACACUUUUUGUUAUUUGAGAUUCAAAGUUUAUAACUUUGAUUGCGUAAUCUUUUAAACAUCUGAUAAUAUAUAAGUUCUAACUGUAAACAUAAUUAAGAGAUCGAAUAUAUCUAAUUAACUUCAAUAACGUCCUUAGAAAAGAUCAUAUAACUGACAUAACAUUUGUAAUGGCCGGACUAUAAUUCGUUCAUAUCGGACCUCUAUAUCCUUCAAUGGACUCUUGAAAAACAAAAAAUGUCACAUAUAUAAGUUGAGACACAGAAACUAACGUCCUUAGCCUUUAUGUCCUUAAAUCGACUCUUAAAAAAUAAAAAAUAUAAACUGACAUAACAUUUGUAAUGGUCAAUAAAAUCGUUCGUCCGGGGCCUCUAUGUCCCUUCAAUCAUUGUUGUAGACUACGACUAUUCAAAAAUAUUUAAUAAAUAAAUUUAGCUAGAUUUAUUAAAUCUAUAAUAUAAUACUCUAAUUGAUAGUCCAUAUAUGGCUAUCUAUAUCCCUAUCACUGCCAAUACAUUCAGUUUUUUUUUUAUUUUAGGUAAAGGAAUACAUUCAGUUAAAUGUACACCACACAUGCUUGCAGAAAUAACAGUACCAAAUCUUGAAUCAUGUGGAGUUAUUUAUUGGAAAAUAUGUUUCAUGAAUACAUAAAUAAAAUGAUCGAAGAAGAAUGUAAAGAUGAAGACUUGAUAAUAUGAAUAACAAUACAAAAUUUGAGGCUUGAAAUAAUAUUUUCCUAAAAAUGAUAUUUGUUCCUCUCCCCUGCGAGAUUGCUAUGGGAUUAGACACAAAUACAUUUAAUGGAUAUGACAAACCUAUUGAAUUAUGCACUAAGCAAAUAAUGAAGAAAGUUAUAAAGAAAAGUUCUCGAUUUGUAGAAACAUUGUUCACAAAAGACAUGUUGAAAUCUCAAGAGGCAAGAUAUACAUAGAAAUAGUGAAAACCAAAUAAUGAAAGGACACACCCUUUAAUCUAAGAGAUACUUCUUCAACUAAAAGACAUAUCUUAUCAAAAACACACCUUUUCAUAAAAAAAAAACAUAUACUAAUUAAUUAUUAAUUUAUUUUAAACAAAAAUUCAAUAUUAUCUUCUACUAUGUUGCUCGAACUCUUACAAAUAUCAUUAUGUCACAGUGAUAUAGUGGUGUAGCGGCGACGUAUAGUUUUAGGUUUAGGGUGGCUAAUCGAACAUUAAUCGAACACCAUUAAUCGAAAAAGAAUCUUUUAACUUGACAUAGAGUUUAAAAAAAUAAAAAUAAAAAUUGAAUCUUUUGGUAAUAAAUUAAAGUUGUUUCAAAUAUAUCAAAAGCAUAUCCUUUGAUCUUUGUGGUCUUAAAUAUGUCAUAUGAAAAGUUGAAAUUAAAUUUUUUUUGAAACAAACUAAAAAAACUAAAAAAAAAAGUAGGUCAUUUUUUUUUAGAGAGAAAAUACUAUGUGUUUGAAGAAUUAUAAGGAAUAUAUAGGUCAAAAAUUAUUUUUCAUACAUAUAUAUUAAAUUUGCAUAAAAUUCCCAAUUUCGACUCUACAGUGAUGUAUAUUUGGAAGGACCCAACACAUACAGGAUAAUAUUUGUGAAUAACAUAAUCAUGAUUUUGUAAUAUUAAAAAUCAACUAAAUAAUUAGUCAAACACUUAAAUACAUUGAUGGUUUAAUUUGUUAUAGAAACAGAUCUUUUGCUUUGUUUUUCAGGUCCAAUAUUUCAGUGUAUAGAACGGUCUAUAUAGAUUGUUACUUCAUUAGAAUUGAUAAGAUAAGGUCCUAUCUCUCUUUGUCUGUAUUAAUUCACGUAGGGGUGUUCAUGGGUCGGUUUGGAUCGAUUAUUGAUUAAAAUCAUAACUAAAUCAAUUCAGUCGGUUUUAAAAUUUCUAAAACCAAACCAAAUCAAAUAAAAAAAUAACCAUCAGUUUGGUUCUUGUCGGUUUAGUUCGGUUUGGUUAGAUUUAUAACUUUAGCUAAUGAUAAAAAUUGAAAAUUUAAAAAACAAAUCCAAUCUAAUUACAUAUGAGAUGUUAACCGAGUGUUGUAUAUCAACCUUGAAACUAUGAUGUCAACUGAGUGUUAUACUUCAGCAAAGCCAUGACAACACCAUAUGAACACUUCUAAGAAAAUAUUAAAAAAAUUAUUUAACAAAAUGAUAUUAAAAACCUCCAAAAGAUGAACACAUAAACUUCUUACUCAAUAAAGUUCAAAAAAAAAGUUAGAAUUAGUGAUUGUUUAUAAUCUAAUGAAUCUCAGUUGUAAAAUUUAAUAUACAACAAGAUAUUAUUUUCACAAUUAGUAUCAUUUGUUAUUCAAAAUGAGAAAUUCAUUUAGAAUCUCAUAAGGUACUGUCAAUUGGAUGAAGAUAUAUGACUGAAUGUGUUACGACUAAAGUAAAAUCAUGAUUAAAAUAUAAAAUGUAACAAAUAUUUAGAGUGUAUUUAUGAAUAAUAUAUAAAUAAUUAUAAUAUAUAUAGAUAUAUAUCGGUUCGGUUUGGUUUGGUUAUUUUGUCGGUUAUUUUAGAGUAAAAUCAAACCAAACCAAAUUAGUAUCGAUUUUUUAAAAUUCAAAAUCAAGCCAAACCAAACCUAACCAAAUAUCAGUUUUUUUAAUCGGUUUGGCUUGGAUCGCGGUUCGAUUUGAUUAAAAACCAAAUCAUGAACACCCCUAAAUUCACGUUGGAAAAUUUUUAUUUUAUUUUUAAUAGAAGGCCGCCAGACGCUCUGUCUAGUUGCAUAUAAAUUCACCAAAAAACUCCUAUGCCAAACCUUUAGCAUUUCUGAUGGAAAACAGAUUAAAACAACUGAAAAUAAAAUUUAAAAAGUAUGAAAAAAAAAAAAUUACAUACCUUAAUUUUCUGUGUCUCAGAAUUUUCUGUGUAAGUAGAACUGAAAUAUGUAUUUGGACACCUUUCAAUUAUAUUAUUUUCCCUACAAAAUGGCAACCAAUACACAGCAAAUUUUGCAGCUUCCAUAAAAGCAAACAACGUAAGCUCUGAUCCUCCAUCAUCCGAUAAAUAAACUGAAAGUUUUUCGAUAGGAUAAUAAUCAUAUGCCAUAACUGAUAACGCUGUGUUAACAACGUUUAAUGGAGGUUCCUUACAAGGAUCCGCUGUGCAAAUAAAUAUAUCGAGUGCUGGUAAAUUAUUGUUACUAUACUUUUUUAUUUUUUCGGGACAUUGUUUACGUGUGAUGGGACGCAUAAGAAACGAUUGAGUAGUUGACCACAUGAAAGCUAAAAUUA